Molecule: ribosomal RNA, 2754 nt
Filed under: Triticum aestivum (bread wheat)
Lineage: Eukaryota; Viridiplantae; Streptophyta; Magnoliopsida; Poales; Poaceae
Description: partial small subunit ribosomal RNA
Source: RNAcentral
AUGGCAGAGAUUGUAAUUCUUCUAGCCAUUAAAAAGAUCGGAAUCGCCUUGGCAAGUAGAGUGGCAAACCAGGCCAACGUGCAGUUUGGAAAGUACAAAACACAACUACAAGAGCUACAUGGCAGUAUGGGUCGUGUUGCGAGGGAGCUUCGCAUAAUGCAUGAAGUGCUCUGUCACAUGGAUAUUCGGAACCGCAACAAUCAAGUUUAUGACGGCUGGUUGGAGGAGGUACAGAAAGUAGCACAUGUGAUGGAGGACAUGGUGGAUGAGUACUUAUAUCUAGUUGGUCGGGAACAUGAUAUUGGGUCUUGUUUUUACCUGAAAAAGGGCUUCAGAAAAUCCAGAUCUCUGCUUUCUAUGAACCAGUUAGCUUUCAAGGUGAAGGAAAUAGAGAAAGACCUUAGUCACCUAUCAGAGACAAACAAACGUUGGGUUCCCAUGACAAUCAGCGGGGCCACGAGCAGCUGUGAUUACAUUGUCAAGAGGGGCCAAGAUCUAGCAAAUAUUUCACGUUCCCUUGAUGAAGAAGAUCUUGUGGGGUUGGCUGAAAACAGAGAAAAACUUGAGCAGUGGUUGGCAGAUGAUGAUUUGGAAUGCUCGGUCAUAGCGCUGCUUGGAAUGGGAGGGCUUGGUAAAACAACUUUAGCUGCAAAUGUCUACAGGAAUGAGAGAAAGAAAUUCCAAUGCCAUGCCUGGGUCUCCAUCUCUCAAACUUAUUCUAGAGAAGAUGUCUUGAGGAAUAUAUGCAAGGAACUUUUCAAAGAUAAUGUCAGUGUUCUAUCUAAAUCUGCAGCUAUGGACAUCACAUGCCUUGAGGAGACACUGAAGAGUUUUCUGGAGCAACGAAAGUACUUGAUCAUAUUGGACGAUGUUUGGACUCCAGAAACAUUUGAUGAUUUGUCUAGGAUGGUUAUUCAUAAUGAUAAGGGAAGUAGACUGAUAAUCACAACCAGGGAAGGCGAUGUUGCUGCACUUGCCUCUCCAGGACAUAUCUUAACACUAGAAGCUUUACGAGAAGAUAAGGCAUGGGAUCUCUUUUGUAAAAAAACAUUUCCAAAAGAAACAAAUCAUGAUUGUCAUGCGGAGUUAAAGCCUUUGUCCAGGGAAAUAGUUAGCAGGUGUAAAGGCUUGCCUCUUGCUAUUGUGUCAGUUGCUAGCCUCUUGCGUGUGCGUGAGAAAACUGUGGAAGAAUGGAGAAGAAUAAAUAACCAACUGAGCUGGGAGAUAAUUAAUAAUUCGAGGCUCGACCACAUAAGGAAUGUUUUGCAUCUGAGUUUCAUCUACCUUCCAACGCACUUGAAAAGUUGUUUUUUGUACUGCAGCUUAUUUCCAGAAGACUAUCUUCUCAAAAGGAAACAACUUGUAAGGUUAUGGAUAGCAGAGGGGUUCAUCGAGGGGAGGGGUGAAAGCACAUUAGAAGAAGUAGCAGAAGGCUAUCUGAAGCAGUUGGUUGAUAGAAACAUGCUACAACUUGUCGAGAUGAACUCAUUUGGCAGGAUAAAAGAAUUCAAAAUGCAUGAUAUAUUACGUGAACUGGCAGUUGAUUUGUGCCAGAAGAACUGUUUUGGUGUUUCACAAGAGGCUAAAUGUGAGGCGUCUCUUGAGAUGGAUGGACGCCGAUUGAUACUUGACAAAAUAAACAAUGAUGUUCAACAGUCAUUUUCUGGUUUACAGCAACUUCGAAGUGCGAUUACAGCAGGCGAUAGUAAGUCACCAUUCACUCUACUACCUCUGCUAUGUAAGGAGUCAAGAUAUAUGACAGUGCUAGAAUUAAGUGGUAUACCCAUCAAGAAGAUUCCAGAUGCUAUUGGAGAUCUUUUUAAUCUCCGCCAUUUGGGUUUGCGUAAUUCAAAGGUGAAAAUGCUCCCAAGGUCUGUUGAGAAGCUUUCAAAUUUGUUGACACUAGACCUUUGUAAAUCUGACAUACAUGAGUUGCCUAGUGGGAUUGUGAAACUUAAGAAGCUCAGGCACUUAUUUGUUGAGAAAAUAAUGGAUCCAGAUUGGAGAAACAUCAAUCAUCUCAGUGGUAUGUGUAUCCCCAAUGGACUCGGGAAUCUAACAAACCUGCAAACACUACAAGCAUUGCAAGUACAGGAUGAGUCCCUUAGACAUCUAGGGGAGCUGAGGCAACUGAAAAGCUUGAGGUUAUUGAAUGUGAAGGGAAUCUACUGCGGACGCAUCAGUGAAUCUCUAGUUCAAAUGCGGCAUUUGUCCUUGCUAUCUGUGAAUGCAAGUGAUGGGAAUGAGGUUCUCUUGUUGAAUGUUCUCCUGCCAAGCCUACAAAAGCUAAGAUUGAGAGGACGGCUAGCGGAAGGUGCAUUGGAUGAGUCUCCUCUCUUCCAAGCUGUCGGAGGGCAGAAUUUGUAUGAAUUAGUCCUAUCUUGGUCACAGCUGACAAAAGACCCCUUGCCGUCCCUUUCUCGGUUGUCAAGCUUGACGCGUCUACAUUUCACUAGAGCAUACACCGGAGAGCAUUUGUCAUUUCUCACGGGGUGGUUUCCCAAGCUAAAGGUUCUCUCUCUGACAGACCUCCCUAAUUUGAAACGUCUAGAGAUACAGCAAGGUGCCAUGGGGUCCCUGGAACAUUUAUUCCUAAUCAGACUCAGCAGCAUGACCGAGGUCCCACCUGGCAUUGAGUUCGUCAUGCCUCUCGAGUAUCUAGGCUUCCACGAAAUCACCGGCGACUUCUUGUAUUUGCUGCGCCAUUGUUCUGCGAUUCAAGGGACGCGGUUGAGGUACUCUCUGCGAGAUUGA